GCCGCUAUAGCUCAGUGGCUAGAGCGUUGGUCUCGUAAACCAAAGGUCGCAAGUUCGAAUCUUGUUGGCAGUG
RNAcentral lists this transfer RNA (73 nucleotides) under Trichonephila inaurata madagascariensis. It matches the Rfam family "tRNA". From Rfam's summary of the family: Transfer RNA (tRNA) molecules are approximately 80 nucleotides in length. Their secondary structure includes four short double-helical elements and three loops (D, anti-codon, and T loops). The record is from Rfam by way of RNAcentral. Lineage: Eukaryota; Metazoa; Arthropoda; Arachnida; Araneae; Nephilidae.